Molecule: ribosomal RNA, 225 nt
Filed under: uncultured bacterium
Lineage: Bacteria
Description: partial 16S ribosomal RNA
Rfam family: Bacterial small subunit ribosomal RNA
Source: RNAcentral
GAUCAUGGCUCAGGAUGAACGCUAGCUACAGGCUUAACACAUGCAAGUCGAGGGGCAGCAUGGUCUUAGCUUGCUAAGGCCGAUGGCGACCGGCGCACGGGUGAGUAACACGUAUCCAACCUGCCGUCUACUCUUGGACAGCCUUNUGAAAGGAAGAUUAAUACAAGAUGGCAUCAUGAGUCCGCAUGUUCACAUGAUUAAAGGUAUUCCGGUAGACGAUGGGAG